Molecule: long non-coding RNA, 842 nt
Organism: Chinchilla lanigera (long-tailed chinchilla)
Lineage: Eukaryota; Metazoa; Chordata; Mammalia; Rodentia; Chinchillidae
Exons: 4
Source: RefSeq, a predicted model, not a curated record
AAUCUGCAUCAGAAAUGUUUUUGAGUCCUCUCACAAUGAAACUCUUUGAGCAGAUGUUUGCUGAUACGCUGCCUGUGAAUUCUAUGGAAAAAUAGUGCGCGUGCGCAAGCGCGUGGAGGGGAGGAACGCAGGAACAAGCAGGACUAACCGGUACAGACCGUGAUGCCGUACGGAACUGAUCCGAAGCGAGCCUGCUCUUCUCCCCUGUCAGCGUUCUCCUCCUCCAAGUAGAACACUUUGCUCUGAACUUUACAACUUCACGAUUUCCUGGUCAUCAUCAGGUACCUAAGUGUCAGCUGCUUAAGAAAAUGAAAACAAAAAACCAAACGUCAAACUUACCAUGGAAUAAAAACCACAGGUCCUCGCUUGGUUUACACACUGGUAUCCCCUUUCAGCACUUCCUGCAUCAUUGUUUAGAGACCAAAGAUUUCAGAAGGCAGUUGAGGGGACUGUUCUUCACUCCUCUACCUGGAUAUGUUUAAGGAAAUCCCUAUAUGCCUCAAGACACCACCUCUGAAAUGAGCCUCGACUUUGCUGAUCCACCCUUACAUCAUGUGGACCUCCCUGCGCUGGUGUUGAAUUACUGGCAGGAGCCUGCAGAAAAUGUGUAAGGGUGUGGAGAACAUGGAGUUUAGCUAAGUCAGAAAGGAACGUCAAUGGAUUCAUUAACCAUCAUCCCCAAAGUUGUCCCUUCGAGAACUUUACAGAAAAAAGAGACCAAGAAUCAUCAGAAGGUAUUCUGGAAGUGGCAUUUCUGAAAGGCUUUCUGCAUGCUUUCUUCUCCCGCGUGUGGGUACUUUUUGACAUAAAGGUUUUAUUGUAGGCUCAAAACUUCAGUUGGA